AUGAUCAGGCCAAAUAUGCGACCCUGUCCUACUGUUCCCUGCCAAGGUUGCAUGAAAAAAAUAGGAGUCAACAUGAAAAGAAAGGAUCAGAGCCAGUGACGAUGCAAUUUUUCUAAAAAUCACUACCUGAUCCUUGAAUUCUUGGAAUUCGUCUAUUCUUGCAUGGGCGAAGAAUGCCUCAUAGUGUGGAAUAUUUUGGAAGACCAUGUGCAAAGAAGGUUACCUGCUGGCUAAUAUACCUACUGUGAGGACUCUCACCCAGUGGAUAGGAGCCAACCUAACUGCGAGGUCCUCUCA
Bemisia tabaci is the source of this 297-nucleotide non-coding RNA. NCBI's taxonomy places the organism in Eukaryota, Metazoa, Arthropoda, Insecta, Hemiptera, Aleyrodidae. The record is from RefSeq and is a predicted model, not a curated record.